RNAcentral lists this ribosomal RNA (791 nucleotides) under uncultured bacterium. RNAcentral's name for it is "bacterial SSU rRNA". It matches the Rfam family "Bacterial small subunit ribosomal RNA", at positions 8 to 798 of the family's 1533-position model. The record is from RNAcentral.
AGAGUUUGAUCCUGGCUCAGGAUGAACGCUAGCGGCAGGCUUAACACAUGCAAGUCGAGGGGUAGAGGUUGCUUGCAACCUUGAGACCGGCGCACGGGUGCGUAACGCGUAUGCAACCUACCUUUUACAGAGGGAUAGCCCAGAGAAAUUUGGAUUAAUACCUCAUAGUAUAUAUCUUUCGCAUGUUAGGUAUAUUAAAGUUCCAACGGUAAAAGAUGGGCAUGCGUCCUAUUAGCUAGAUGGUAAGGUAACGGCUUACCAUGGCUACGAUAGGUAGGGGUCCUGAGAGGGAGAUCCCCCACACUGGUACUGAGACACGGACCAGACUCCUACGGGAGGCAGCAGUGAGGAAUAUUGGACAAUGGGCGCAAGCCUGAUCCAGCCAUGCCGCGUGCAGGAAGAAGCAUCUAUGGUGUGUAAACUGCUUUUGUACAGGAAGAAACAUCCCGACGUGUCGGGACUUGACGGUACUGUAAGAAUAAGGAUCGGCUAACUCCGUGCCAGCAGCCGCGGUAAUACGGAGGAUCCAAGCGUUAUCCGGAAUCAUUGGGUUUAAAGGGUCCGUAGGCGGUUUGGUAAGUCAGUGGUGAAAGCCCGCAGCUCAACUGUGGAACGGCCAUUGAUACUGCCAGACUUGAAUUACGAGGAAGUAGCUAGAAUAUGUAGUGUAGCGGUGAAAUGCUUAGAUAUUACAUGGAAUACCAAUUGCGAAGGCAGGUUACUACUUGUGGAUUGACGCUGAUGAACGAAAGCGUGGGGAGCGAACAGGAUUAGAUACCCUGGUAGUCCAA